AUGGGCGGCACGGCCGUGGCCCCCCAGGUCUACGUCUUCCCGCCGCCGCCCGAGGCGCUGGCGCUGGGCGAGUCGGCCAUCUUGACCUGCCUGGCCAGCGGCUUCUUCCCGCGCGACAUCCUGCUCACCUGGACGCACCUGGACCGGCCGGUGCCACCGGAGCGCUUCUCGGUGCUGGGCCCGCAGCCGGACGCCGGAGGUUCCGGAAGGUUCUCGGUCUACUCCAAGAUGGCGGCCGGGGCGGAGGAGUGGCGCCGCGGCGACGUCUUCACCUGCGUGGUGGGGCACGAGGGCGUGGCCAUGAGGUUCGUCCAGAGGAGUUUGGACAAAUCCAUGGCGAGACCGGCCAACGUCAACGUUUCGGUGGUUUUGGCCGAUGCCGACACCGUGUGUUAUUGA
Non-coding RNA from Onychostruthus taczanowskii (white-rumped snowfinch), 399 nucleotides. Lineage: Eukaryota; Metazoa; Chordata; Aves; Passeriformes; Passeridae. The record is from the annotation of a RefSeq genome assembly.